UUGACCUCGGAUCAGGUAGGAAUACCCGCUGAACUUAAGCAUAUCAAUAAGCGGAGGAAAAGAAACCAACAGGGAUUGCCCUAGUAACGGCGAGUGAAGCGGCAACAGCUCAAAUUUGAAAUCUGGCUCUCGGGCCCGAGUUGUAAUUUGUAGAGGAUGCUUUUGGCAAGGUGCCUUCCGAGUUCCCUGGAACGGGACGCCAUAGAGGGUGAGAGCCCCGUCUGGUUGGACACCGAGCCUCUGUAAAGCUCCUUCGACGAGUCGAGUAGUUUGGGAAUGCUGCUCUAAAUGGGAGGUAUAUGUCUUCUAAAGCUAAAUACUGGCCAGAGACCGAUAGCGCACAAGUAGAGUGAUCGAAAGAUGAAAAGCACUUUGAAAAGAGAGUUAAAAAGCACGUGAAAUUGUUGAAAGGGAAGCGCUUAUGACCAGACUUGGGCUUGGUUGAUCAUCCGGCGUUCUCGCCGGUGCACUCUUCCAGUUCAGGCCAGCAUCAGUUUGCCUCGGGGGAUAAAAGUAGCGGGAAUGUGGCUCCUCCGGGAGUGUUAUAGCCCGCUGCAUAAUACCCUGUGGCAGACUGA
This 578-nucleotide ribosomal RNA is filed under the name Fusarium cf. dimerum a DPGS-2011. RNAcentral's name for it is "eukaryotic LSU rRNA". It matches the Rfam family "Eukaryotic large subunit ribosomal RNA", at positions 1 to 589 of the family's 3401-position model. The record is from RNAcentral. Lineage: Eukaryota; Fungi; Ascomycota; Sordariomycetes; Hypocreales; Nectriaceae.